AGGCACUACAUUGGGGGUGACUGCAGAGCUGAAUGGCAGGAAGUCAAGAGAGUGUCCAGCGCUCACACUCUGCAGAGGUGAUAUAAGCCGCACUAACUGUGGUCUGGAGUCCCCUGCUCACACAUCUCCUCUCCUGGGGCACCAUGAAAAAUUAAUUUGGAUAAUAAUAUCUACUUUGAGAUUCCUCCUAUUCUGCCUUCUCUUUGAUGGAGGCUUCAUGGCAGAGGACAACUGCUGGCAGAUUGUGUCUGACUCCUAGUUCUGAAGCUGUAAACUCAAGAGGAUUUGUCAGUUGGUCCAUUCCACCACAGUGUCUUCUACUUUUGGAGCUCCUGGAUUUUCCGCCUGUUGAUCGCCAUGGCUGUGUUUGUGUCUAUUCAUUUUGGGACCCACCUGCUACUUGUCUCCAAGAAACAAAAUUAAGAUCUCAGUCAAAGCUCCUGUGGGGACUGGAUGACUCAGAACAGUCAGGAGAUGGGAUAUGGAGCUUUUCAUCUCUUGGUCCCCAGUUUCACUGUAGCCCCAGGUCAGGAAGUCUGAGCAGCUCAGUAUGAUUACAGAAUGGAAUAUGAUUGGUCCUGCUUUGAGCAGGGGGUUGGACUAGAUGACCUCCUGAGGUCCCUUCCAACUCUGAUAUUCUAUG
Non-coding RNA from Chelonoidis abingdonii (Abingdon island giant tortoise), 643 nucleotides. The record is from RefSeq and is a predicted model, not a curated record. NCBI's taxonomy places the organism in Eukaryota, Metazoa, Chordata, Testudines, Testudinidae.